UGUAAGAAAUAACAUUUCAAGUGAUUGAAAGCAGUUGGAAAAGGGUUGUGUUUGUGCACUAUAUAAGAAGGGAAAUCUGAUGAUAAGCAGGCAUUCUGGCAUGUCUGUUUGCAGCUAGUGCUUUAACAAUUCAACUGCACUCCCAAUUUAUUGAAUCUUUACUAGUUCAGUAACUUGAUGGUGUAAAAUGGCCAUACAAUCAACUCGAUUUUAAUCCUUACAAUUUCUGUACUUUUGGAAUAAUGCAGACACAGCACAAGAUUGAAAUGGAUAAAAGAGAUGGUAAGUUUGGGCAACAGCCAGUUAUGGCCGUGCCUCAGGUGCAGCAAAUGUCACGCAUUGAUCAGCCAAUUCCUCCACCCAUAGGCUAUCCACCUCAACCAGCAUAUGGUCAACCUCCACCCCCUUAUGCUCAAGGUUAUCCUCCUGCUGGGUACCCUCCACCUCAAUAUCCUCCACCUGGCGCUUAUCCUCCUUCUGGCUACCCCAAGUGAACUGGACUCUUCCAGUGAAGAGAAAGUAAUGUUGCAUGUGAAGUUCAAAAGACGCUCAGAUUAUUUC
This 561-nucleotide long non-coding RNA is filed under the name Ricinus communis (castor bean). RNAcentral describes it as "long non-coding RNA (RCOM_LNC000193)". The record is from RNAcentral. Lineage: Eukaryota; Viridiplantae; Streptophyta; Magnoliopsida; Malpighiales; Euphorbiaceae.